AACGAACGCUGGCGGCAUGCCUAACACAUGCAAGUCGAACGAGACCUUCGGGUCUAGUGGCGCACGGGUGCGUAACGCGUGGGAACCUGCCCUUAGGUUCGGAAUAACUCCCCGAAAGGGGUGCUAAUACCGGAUAAUGUCUUCGGACCAGAGAUUUAUCGCCUUUGGAUGGGCCCGCGUUGGAUUAGCUAGUUGGUAGGGUAAAAGCCUACCAAGGCGACGAUCCAUAGCUGGUCUGAGAGGAUGAUCAGCCACACUGGGACUGAGACACGGCCCAGACUCCUAUGGGAGGCAGCAGUGGGGAAUAUUGGACAAUGGGCGAAAGCCUGAUCCAGCAAUGCCGCGUGAGUGAUGAAGGCCUUAGGGUUGUAAAGCUCUUUUACCCGGGAUGAUAAUGACAGUACCGGGAGAAUAAGCGCCGGCUAACUCCGUG
Molecule: ribosomal RNA, 433 nt
Filed under: uncultured bacterium
Lineage: Bacteria
Description: partial 16S ribosomal RNA
Rfam family: Bacterial small subunit ribosomal RNA
Source: RNAcentral